UACGGAAGGCAGCAGUGGGGAAUAUUGCACAAUGGGCGCAAGCCUGAUGCAGCCAUGCCGCGUGUAUGAAAAAGGCCUUCGGGUUGUAAAGUACUUUCAGUCGUGAGGAAGGUGUUAAGGUUAAUAACCUUAGCAAUUGACGUUAGCGACAGAAGAAGCACCGGCUAACUCCGUGCCAGCAGCCGCGGUAAUACGGAGGGUGCGAGCGUUAAUCGGAAUUACUGGGCGUAAAGGGCACGCAGGCGGUUAAUUAAGUUGGAUGUGAAAUCCCCGGGCUUAACCUGGGAAUGGCAUUCAAGACUGGUUAGCUAGAGUCUUGUAGAGGGGGUAGAAUUCCGAUGUGUAGCGGUGAAAUGCGUAGAGAUGUGGAGGAAUACCGGUGGCGAAGGCGGCCCCUGGACAAAGACUGACGCUCAUGGUGCGAAAGCGUGGGGAGCAAAC
RNAcentral lists this ribosomal RNA (441 nucleotides) under uncultured bacterium. Its description in RNAcentral is "bacterial SSU rRNA". It matches the Rfam family "Bacterial small subunit ribosomal RNA", at positions 340 to 773 of the family's 1533-position model. The record is from RNAcentral.